GGACACACGAAAGUAUUUCUGUCUCUUUUAUAUCAAUAAAAAUUGAAUUAUAGGUGAAGAUGCCUAUAUAUUUUUAAAGGACAAAAAGACCCUAUUGAGCUUUAUUUCUUAUUAAUUAAAAAAGAAAUACCACAAAUUUUUAUUAAAAGGAGAUUCUGUUGGGGCGACAAAGGAACACAAAAAACUUCCAAAAAAAAAAAGAAAACACUUCUAUUCAAUGAUCCUUAAUAGCUAAAGAAACCAGCUACCAUAGGGAUAACAGGCUAAUCAUUUUAAAGAGUUCAUAUUGAUAAAAUGGGUUGGCACCUCGAUGUUGGCUUAGGGUAUCCUAUAAGUGCAGAAGCUAUAAAGGU
This 353-nucleotide ribosomal RNA is filed under the name Bathyglycinde cf. profunda NHM_1305A. Its description in RNAcentral is "partial large subunit ribosomal RNA". The stretch from base 47 to 353 matches the Rfam family "Bacterial large subunit ribosomal RNA", at positions 2046 to 2572 of the family's 2925-position model. The record is from RNAcentral. Lineage: Eukaryota; Metazoa; Annelida; Polychaeta; Phyllodocida; Goniadidae.